CCUACGGGUGGCAGCAGUGAGGAAUAUUGGUCAAUGGGCGAGAGCCUGAACCAGCCAAGUCGCGUGAGGGAGUACUGCCCUAUGGGUUGUAAACCUCUUUUGUCGGGGAGCAAAAGCCGGACGUGUCCGGCUGUGAGCGUACCCGAAGCAACAGCAUCGGCUAACUCCGUGCCAGCAGCCGCGGUAAUACGGAGGACGCGAGCGUUAUCCGGAUUUAUUGGGGUUAAAGGGUGCGCAGGCGGAUGUUUAAGUCAGCGGUCAAAUCGUGGGGCUAAACCCCAUCCAGCCGUUGAAACUGGGGAUCUAGAGUGGGCGAGAGGUAUGCGGAAUGCGUGGUGUAGCGGUGAAAUGCAUAGAGAGCACGCAGAACCCCGAUUGCGAAGGCAGCAUACCGGUGCACAACUGACGCUCAGGCACGAAAGCGUGGGUAGCGAACAGGAUUAGAUACCCGGGUAGUC
RNAcentral lists this ribosomal RNA (458 nucleotides) under uncultured bacterium. RNAcentral's name for it is "partial 16S ribosomal RNA". It matches the Rfam family "Bacterial small subunit ribosomal RNA", at positions 338 to 795 of the family's 1533-position model. The record is from RNAcentral.